RNAcentral lists this ribosomal RNA (460 nucleotides) under uncultured bacterium. RNAcentral's name for it is "partial 16S ribosomal RNA". It matches the Rfam family "Bacterial small subunit ribosomal RNA", at positions 338 to 795 of the family's 1533-position model. The record is from RNAcentral.
CCUACGGGGUGCAGCAGUGAGGAAUAUUGGUCAAUGGACGAGAGUCUGAACCAGCCAAGUAGCGUGAAGGAUGACUGCCCUAUGGGUUGUAAACUUCUUUUAUAUGGGAAUAAAAUGUUCCACGUGUGGGAUUUUGUAUGUACCAUAUGAAUAAGGAUCGGCUAACUCCGUGCCAGCAGCCGCGGUAAUACGGAGGAUCCGAGCGUUAUCCGGAUUUUUUGGGUUUACAGGGUGCGUAGGUGGAUUGUUAAGUCAGUUGUGAAAGUUUGUGGCUCAACCGUAAAAUUGCAGUUGAAACUGGCAGUGUUGAGUACAGUAGAGGUGGGCGGAAUUCGUGGUGUAGCGGUGAAAUGCUUAGAUAUCACGAAGAACUCCGAUUGCGAAGGCAGUUCACUGGACUGCAACUGACACUGAGGCUCGAAAGUGUGGGUAUCAAACAGGAUUAGAUACCCUGGUAGUC